AAGGAUCAAGUUCACCAAAUAGAAUGAGCCCAAGAAAAUCACCAAAACAAAAAAUAUCAUGUAUGUUUUUCCUGCAGCACGUAGUGUCUAGAGAAAGAAAAAAAAAGUGUAGAUAACAUCUCAUGAUACAAGUCUGCUGACUACUGUUGAUCUAUUGACCUCAUCUCUCAUACAAAUAUACCCUGAUGCCACUUUUAAAUAAAUCAGAAUACAUGAUAAAUAA
Molecule: long non-coding RNA, 223 nt
Organism: Antechinus flavipes (yellow-footed antechinus)
Lineage: Eukaryota; Metazoa; Chordata; Mammalia; Dasyuromorphia; Dasyuridae
Exons: 2
Source: RefSeq, a predicted model, not a curated record